CCCGGCGGCGCGGUGCGCUGCCGUACGGGUCCGGGCGGGUACAGCGGCCGGGGGAGCAGGAAGAGCGGCCCGGUGUGCCCCAACCCGCUCGGCCCGUCCUCCGCCUCGGCCCCGCCAUGAGCGAGAAGGGCGAGCUGGACCUCACCGGGGCCAAACAGAACACGGGCAUGUGGCUGGUGAAGGUCCCCAAAUACUUGUCACAACAGUGGAGUAAAGCUUCAGGAAGAGGUGAAGUGGGAAAACUACGGAUUGCCAAAAAUCAAGGAAGAACAGAAGUGUCAUUUACUUUGAAUGAAGAGCUUGCAAGCAUCAAUGAUAUUGGAGGAAAACCUGCUUCAGUCAGUGCACCAAGGGAACAUCCAUUUCUUUUGCAAAGUGUGGGAGGACAGACCUUAACAGUGUUCACAGAAAGUUCAGUAGAAAGCCAACCAGAAGAAAAAUCUGAAAGCAGCAGUGCUGUACCUGAUGCAUACAGCAGGACGACACUGAAAGGAAAGGUGUUCUUGUCUGUACAAGGGGGGUGUCGUCCGUGGAGCGUAUGCGCAUACAUAUUCCUCAUUUAUCGGACACGUGUGCAGUGCUUGGAGCAGGAAAGGGAAAGCUCGCCACGCAUCUAUCUCUGUGUGUGUUUCCUUGGGGAGCGGAGGGAGCCGCAGCAUGCAUUCCCCAGCACCGGCGGGAGCGAACGCUUACCUUGGGCUGGACCCAGAGAGGAGGUCCCAUCUUUUUCAAGAUGUGUUUUUCAUUUUACAGAUAAACUUUCCUUGGAAGGAAUAGUGGUGCAACGAGCUGAAUGCAGACCUGCAGCUAGUGAAAAUUAUAUGAAACUGAAAAGAUUACAGAUAGAAGAAUCUUCUAAACCUGUAAGGCUAUCACAGCAGCUGGACAAAGCCGUAACCACGAACUAUAAACCGGUGGCUAAUCAUCAAUAUAAUAUUGAAUACGAGAAGAAGAAGAAAGAAGAUGGAAAACGGGCUCGAGCUGAUAAACAACAAGUGUUGGACAUGCUUUUUUCAGCCUUUGAGAAACAUCAGUAUUACAACAUUAAAGACCUGGUGGACAUAACCAAACAGCCGGUGGUACGUACUAGUAGUCUUGUAAUAUAACCAUUUUCAGUAGUUACUAUUGUGUAUAUUUUUCUUAUCCAGAAAAUAGUUCAAUGUAUACUAUAUGCCUUUGAAACAGCUCUCUAAAUACGUUUUACAACAAACAGAAAUCAUCAAGUUUUAAGUUCGCCAUUGUAGAACUGUGUAGGAUACCAAGCAUUGCAGUGAGCAUGCUUUUUCUUGACAGAGGUGGUUUAAGUAACCUAAAUGGUCUCUUUCUUAUUUAGGUUUGCUUUAAUACUAGAAACCAAAUUCUGUAAUGCUCUGCUGUCUCCCAUGCUACUCCUGUCCUCACUGAAGUAACAGCCUAGUUCUGUUGCUGUCGGCAGCAGAGAGCUUUUGUGAGUGAUCAGUCCUUCCUCCAGUUUCUGAACUUUACCUUGGCAUAGCAACAGGGGUUACUCUUUUUCUGUGGGUCUAGAAAAUUGUGUUUCAUGGAAUUAGUAUUAAAUGCACGCAUUACCCACUUUAGGAGCUCGGGCAUCGUGUCAACACCCCCAAAAUCACUUGAUUUCCUUUACAAAUAGAAUAAUUUUUAGACUAAGAGUUUAGGGGUUUGAUAUUUAGGAUUUAUUUUGAUUUUUUUUUAAACACUGUUACGAUACACAAGCAAGAAAAGCAUGAAGACGUGUGCUUAUGUGAUGAUUUUGUUAUCCUGCAGUGUCUGCCAGACCCUUUCUUUAUGAACCCUAACUUUCCAGUUCUUUCCCUUCUUCCCGUGUUCAAGCUUUCCCUGAGCAGACCAGGCCAGAGCAGGGGGACGUGAAGUAUCUCUGGUGCUUUUGAUGUUUUUCACUGCUGACUUCAAUAUCUAUCCUCAACCCAGCUGCAGUUUUCAGAAUACUUAAAGGGACUUAAUUAUGUUUGAGUCUAAAUGGAGCAACAAUUUCAAAAGUUGUUAGAGCUAAGGCAGAAGAAGGAACAGUGACAGCUGAACUAUGGAAAAAAUUAUUCCUCUGUAAGAGGGGAAAAAAUGAAGAUGCUUACUAGUUUUGCUCACUUCACAUUUAGAAUUAAGUGGAUCUGUAUCAGAGGAUUUGUAUAAGGUGCACAAUCUGUUUGGUUAAGUAGCUGCACAAAGACGUUACCCAGUUCAAAUGCACGUAGGUUCACGGUGUUCUAGUACCUUGGAAGAAACUAGUUGGAUAAUGUAUUUGUGUCCUCUGUUCCAUUCAUCUAAUGAGUCAACUCCUUAUCUGUGUGGCAGAGAAAGUGUCUAGAUCAUGGGAGCUGAGGAGGAGGAAGGAAUAGGAAGAAGAUAUGGAGGGAGUGGCAAGCAAAUUUUAAGUUGUUUUAUUUUUUUUGUAAGACAUAGGUGUGACAGUCACUAUCUCAACCACUUUGAAAUAAGUAGGUGCAGAUUUAUCCUUUCUAGCAUGACUUCAGCUAGAAAUAGUCACCCACAACUCCCACUUAGGCCAUGGGAGAGCAAAAGUUUUCUUCCUCCUGUGAUGUGAUUUAACUCUUGAAUGUACCUGUCUCUCUGCAUCAGCUCAAAGGAGCCUGGAAAAGCUGUGCUUCUGACAUAAGUUUCUUCAUUAAGCACCAAAAGUUGGGCAAGAUUAAUCCAAUUUUUGUCUUAGUCGCUGCCCUAAGGAUUAGAUGUAUAGGCUAGUUAUUAGAUUAGAUGUAUAGAGCAAAACACCUCACAUGAAUACAUUUUUUACAUUUGUGAUGAAUUUCUAUGCCUGUCUAUAUACCUCUGCUGUCACCGUAUGCUCCUCAAUGUAUUCUGCCUGUAGCAUAGCAGAUCUGUGCUGUGUACUUUCACCUCAUCAAAUCUAGCCUUUUUUUUUUCAACUGUUGUAGUAAAAUAGAUACGUUAAAGGGAAAUUGUAGACUAAUUUGACCUAACAUCACAUGUUAUUUGAGCUAUAUCUUUGCAUCUGUUUAUUUGAGUCUCUCUACUGAUGGCUAAAAGUCCCAUAGGGCUCCUGAGAUUCAUCAAACCAUUAAACCCUCUUCCCCUGAAUGGGCUCUGCAGUCUCAGUUUCGAGCUGUGUGGGACAGUUAGGGUUUUCGUGUUCAUUCCCAGCCGGGGUUUCGCCGUAGGUGUUGGUGCCCAUCCAGCUUCCUCAGACCUGGAUAUCCUGAGAAAAUAAAUGACCGAAAUCCUCUUCCUGGUGCCUUUCUUCAUUCACUGGCUAGCCAGUAUGGCAAUAAAUCCAAAACUAUCUUUCAGUACAUCAUCUACCCGUCAUCUAAAGCUAUCCUAAUUUCCCAUCUGGGUUCCCAUUAAAAACUUCUGUAGGGAGUUGCUAACGGCAUCCAUUUCCAUUUAAAAAUACUUUCCCUUGGUUCCUGCUGCUCAGGCAGUGUUCGCUCCGUGUGUGAGCAUCCCUGGUGCUGCAGACUUCAACCUCUGGUGUGCAACUUUUGGGUUUUUUCUGCAAAUCAAGUAUCUGUUCCUAAUGCCCACUGUGACUUUAUUGUUCACAGAGCAGCUAUACCUGACAAAAAAAAUCUAAAAUGCCAACAGGUGAAUAGGCAUGCUUUCCCCAUGCUGUACAGAGGUUGGCUGCUAAUUAAUCUCUGCUGAGUGUUCACUGCUUUCUUUUCUGUCAUAGUGUCUAAGAUUGUCUGGGUAUGUAAUUUCCCUUCUGAGUUUCUAAAUGUUGAGGUUAUUUUCAGACGCGAGGAAAAAAAAGCUGCUGCGGCUGCUCUCUCCUCAGCUCCCAUUAAAAUGAAGUUCUAGGUGCUUACAUCAUGGGCUAAUAAUAUUUAAAACACAUUUGUCUAAGGGAAUCAACGUCUUCAUUAGUGAAGUAACAAAUAAAUAAGGGUAUUUUUCUUAUGUAAUGGUAAAUUUAAAGUAAACUCUUGCUACAGAAUAUGUUGCAUGUUACAGGGGAAGUUGCUGCCAUCUUUAUUUUGCAAUCAUGAAAUCACAAAGCAAGUCUACUUUGAAUGCAAACUACUGUUAUAUUAGGGAAAUCUGGUUUUAUUUGUUUUUCUUUUUAAUGAAAAAUAACAAUUUGCAGUAGUAGGCAAACCUGUUGCCACCUACUCAGAUGUAAGUAUCGAGCGCUCCCUGAAAAUAUUGCAGUAAUUCUAGAUUUGGACUUAAUGGCUGAGAACAUAAUACGCUUUUUAUGUGAGCGAUCAAAUAUUUAUGAAGAAUGGAACCAGUAUGGAACCAGUGGUCUAAUAUGAACUGUAUUUUUUCAAAAUGGGGUAGACUGCUUGCAGGUUUUUCUUUUGUUUCAGCUUAAGUAUCCUAAGUGGGGGCUUUUUUCUUCCCUCAAAGUUUCAGAAGGAUUUUCAGAGCUUGGAACUUAACUCCUGUCUCAGAAACUUUUAUCCCAUAAUUCUAUAAUAACAUUUCACUUUUUAUGGAAAAAAUCACGAGGGAAGGUGUAACAGAGCAGAGGAUGCCUUAAAUGUACAAACAGAUUACCUACAGAUUAGCUUCUGUGUUAGACUUACGUGUAUAUAAACAUAUUGAAUCCCUUUCUGAGAAGAAAUUGUGGGAUCCCCAUUAGUGCUCACCAGGCCCUGAAAUUCAGUAUUUGGCAUCACUGGAGGAGGUGGGAGGUUUCUUCUGAUGAUAUAGUAUCAGACCGAGUAGUACGCUUCAAGAUGUAUAGGCCAACUCGGCACAGCGCAGACGCGGGUAGAGCGUCCUGGUUUCUGGAAGGAGAAGUGAUCCUGCAGGAAAAAUCAUAACGUCCCCUGAACGCAUCUCAUCAAGCCACUUGAACUCAAAUACAGUACAGUGCAGCCGGCUUAUCCCUGAUUUGUGAUGGUCUAAAAGCUCCAACAGUUCGGCAUUGUAUGUGCACGCAGAGUGAUUUUUUGGGGUUAACGCUGUCAGCUGCCCUCCCCAAAAUCACUGCUGCUUGUUUCUCCCCGGCAACAGAGGUGGCAAAUAGGAAUAUGUUGCAAAUCCUCAGCUGCUGCAGUUCGCCAUCCCAGCUUGAAGUGCCCUUACUUGUGGCACAGACGUUACCUCGCUAUUCAGUUUGGGUUGGUUUUAUUUCAUUUUGUUAUGCUGUUGAAUCAAAACUGUUGGAACUUUUGCCCAGAGAUAAGCAGAGCUGCCUGGGGAAUUGGGUCUGAAAACGAGUUGAAAUUAAAAUUAACCUUCGUUUACCUGGGUGGGUGGUUUGGAGGCAUGAGCAAGUAGCAAGGGGCGAGAACUGCCUCGUGCAAAAUGUCAACCCAAAGAGCCGCAGAGCCCGCAGCCGCGGGGGUUUUGUUCUGCCUGAGCCCUGUGCCUUCCUUGCGCCUGGUGACCUGGCUUCCCCGACGCAGACUACGUCUCUGAGCCUGGGAACCGCACAUAGAUGUACUUCGGGGGACUCGGUGCGAUUAUUUUCUUUUUUUUUCCAAUUCUUAUUAAUCUGGCCGUGUGGUCUAGAGCAGAAUUUGACCUUGAAUCUGAGUGUUCUUUCCACCCACUCUGCCAUCUUUUGAAGUGCCUGUCAGGGACAUUACUGAAAGCUACCUUGCGUGCGUGCACAAGGAUUGCAAACAAGGCAGUGGAUAUGCAGAUAUACUUGAAAGAAAUUCUAAGAGAAAUAGGCAUCUACAACGUGAAGGGGACCCACAAAAACACAUGGGAG
Molecule: RNA transcript, 5671 nt
Organism: Haliaeetus leucocephalus (bald eagle)
Lineage: Eukaryota; Metazoa; Chordata; Aves; Accipitriformes; Accipitridae
Gene: GTF2F2
Gene name: general transcription factor IIF, polypeptide 2, 30kDa
Exons: 11
Source: RefSeq, a predicted model, not a curated record